This 252-nucleotide ribosomal RNA is filed under the name uncultured prokaryote. Its description in RNAcentral is "partial 16S ribosomal RNA". It matches the Rfam family "Bacterial small subunit ribosomal RNA", at positions 524 to 775 of the family's 1533-position model. The record is from RNAcentral.
UACGGAGGAUGCGAGCGUUAUCCGGAUUUAUUGGGUUUAAAGGGUGCGUAGGCGGCCUUGUAAGUCAGCGGUGAAAUUUUGCAGCUUAACUGUAAAAGUGCCGUUGAUACUGUGAGGCUAGGAUUUGGUUGCUGUGGGUGGAAUGUGUGGUGUAGCGGUGAAAUGCUUAGAGAUCACACAGAAUAUCGAUUGCGAAGGCAGCUCACAAAGCCAAGAUUGAUGCUGAGGCACUAAAGUGUGGGGAGUCAAACA